RNAcentral lists this ribosomal RNA (258 nucleotides) under Ruellia puri. Its description in RNAcentral is "5.8S ribosomal RNA". The stretch from base 101 to 255 matches the Rfam family "5.8S ribosomal RNA". From Rfam's summary of the family: 5.8S ribosomal RNA (5.8S rRNA) is a component of the large subunit of the eukaryotic ribosome. It is transcribed by RNA polymerase I as part of the 45S precursor that also contains 18S and 28S rRNA. Functionally, it is thought that 5.8S rRNA may be involved in ribosome translocation. The record is from RNAcentral. Lineage: Eukaryota; Viridiplantae; Streptophyta; Magnoliopsida; Lamiales; Acanthaceae.
UGCGCAAASGAAAACCUAAAUGAAUCGCUCGACCCCCUCUGCUGCCCCGUACGCGGUGUGCACAAAAGGCGGGUACGGUGCGUAUCUUGAAUGUCAAAACGACUCUCGGCAACGGAUAUSUCGGCUCUCGCAUCGAUGAAGAACGUAGCGAAAUGCGAUACUUGGUGUGAAUUGCAGAAUCCCGUGAACCAUCGAGUCUUUGAACGCAAGUUGCGCCCGAAGCUUCGGGCCGAGGGCACGCCUGCCUGGGCGUCACGC